GAUGAAGAACGUAGCGAAAUGCGAUACGUAAUGUGAAUUGCAGAAUUCAGUGAAUCAUCGAAUCUUUGAACGCACAUUGCGCCCGCCAGCACUCUGGCGGGCAUGCCUGUUCGAGCGUCAUUUCAACCAUCAAGCCCUGCUUGCGUUGGGGUCCUGCGGCUGCCCGCAGGCCCUGAAAACCAGUGGCGGGCUCGCUAGUCACACCGAGCGCAGUAAUACAUCUCGCUUUGGGCGUGCGGCGGGUUCUUGCCGUUAAACACCCCCUUUUUACCAAGGUUGACCUCGGAUCAGGUAGGAAUACCCGCUGAACUUAAGCAUAUCAAUAAGCGGAGGA
This 334-nucleotide unclassified non-coding RNA is filed under the name soil metagenome. RNAcentral's name for it is "partial contains 5.8S ribosomal RNA, internal transcribed spacer 2, and large subunit ribosomal RNA". The stretch from base 1 to 120 matches the Rfam family "5.8S ribosomal RNA", at positions 35 to 154 of the family's 154-position model. The record is from RNAcentral.